CCCCCGGGGAGCGCCAGCAGGCGCUGAGAGUGCGGAAGGUCCGCAGACCCGUCAACCUGAUCCGGUUCGUACCGGCGUAGGGAGCAG
RNAcentral lists this non-coding RNA (87 nucleotides) under uncultured Georgenia sp. RNAcentral describes it as "TPP riboswitch (THI element)". It matches the Rfam family "TPP riboswitch aptamer (THI element)", at positions 10 to 89 of the family's 105-position model. Rfam says of the family: Vitamin B(1) in its active form thiamin pyrophosphate (TPP) is an essential coenzyme that is synthesised by coupling of pyrimidine and thiazole moieties in bacteria. The previously detected thiamin-regulatory element, thi box was extended, resulting in a new, highly conserved RNA secondary structure, the THI element, which is widely distributed in eubacteria and also occurs in some archaea. The record is from RNAcentral. Lineage: Bacteria; Bacillati; Actinomycetota; Actinomycetes; Allobogoriellales; Allobogoriellaceae.